RNAcentral lists this ribosomal RNA (460 nucleotides) under uncultured bacterium. Its description in RNAcentral is "partial 16S ribosomal RNA". It matches the Rfam family "Bacterial small subunit ribosomal RNA", at positions 338 to 795 of the family's 1533-position model. The record is from RNAcentral.
CCUACGGGGGGCAGCCGUGAGGAAUAUUGGUCAAUGGACGAGAGUCUGAACCAGCCAAUUAGCGUGAAGGAUGAAUGCCCUAUGGGUUGUAAACUUCUUUUAUAUGGGAAUAAAAUGUUCCAAGUGUGUGAUUUUGUAUGUAACAUAUGAAUAAGGAUAGGCUAACUCCGUGCAAGCAGCCGCGGUAAUACGGAGGAUCCGAGCGUUAUCCGGAUUUAUUGGGUUUAAAGGGAGCGUAGGUGGAUUGUUAAGUCAUCUGUGAAAGUUUGCGGCUCAACCGUAAAAUUGCAGUUGAAACUGGCAGUCUUGAGUACAGUAGAGGUGGGCGGAAGUCGUGGUGUAGCGGUGAAAUGCUUAGAUAUCACGAAGAACUCCGAUUGCGAAGGCAGCUCACUGGACUGCAACUGACACUGAGGCUCGAAAGUGUGGGUAUCAAACAGGAUUAGAUACCCUUGUAGUC